This 301-nucleotide ribosomal RNA is filed under the name uncultured bacterium. RNAcentral describes it as "partial 16S ribosomal RNA". It matches the Rfam family "Bacterial small subunit ribosomal RNA", at positions 509 to 807 of the family's 1533-position model. The record is from RNAcentral.
CAGCCGCCGCGGUAAUACGAAGGGGGCUAGCGUUGCUCGGAAUGACUGGGCGUAAAGGGCGCGUAGGCGGAUGGCACAGUCAGACGUGAAAUUCCCGGGCUUAACCUGGGGGCUGCAUUUGAUACGUGUUGUCUAGAGUGAGGAAGAGGGUUGUGGAAUUCCCAGUGUAGAGGUGAAAUUCGUAGAUAUUGGGAAGAACACCGGUGGCGAAGGCGGCAACCUGGUCCUUGACUGACGCUGAGGCGCGAAAGCGUGGGGAGCAAACAGGAUUAGAUACCCCGGUAGUCCCUGUCUCUUAUAC